CAGUAGCCGCGGUAAUACGAAGGGGGCUAGCGUUGUUCGGAUUUACUGGGCGUAAAGGGCGCGUAGGCGGGCUGAUAAGUCGGGGGUGAAAUCCCAAGGCUCAACCUUGGAACUGCCUUUGAUACUGUUGGUCUUGAGUCCGGGAGAGGUGAGUGGAACUGCGAGUGUAGAGGUGAAAUUCGUAGAUAUUGGGAAGAACACCGGUGGCGAAGGCGGCGACCUGGUCCUUGACUGACGCUGAGGCGCGAAAGCGUGGGGAGCAAACAGGAUUAGAUACCCCUGUAGUCCCUGUCUCUUAUAC
RNAcentral lists this ribosomal RNA (301 nucleotides) under uncultured bacterium. RNAcentral's name for it is "partial 16S ribosomal RNA". It matches the Rfam family "Bacterial small subunit ribosomal RNA", at positions 509 to 807 of the family's 1533-position model. The record is from RNAcentral.